AAUGAACGCUGGCGGAAGGCCUAACACAUGCAAGUCGAUCGGCAGAAUGGUCUUUGCUUGCCUAUCCAGGGGGGGCGGGGGGGUCACGCGUAAGGAACUUGCCCGGCAGUCAGGGAUAACGGGCGGAAACGGGUGAUAAUACCGUAUAAAUUCAGACGGACUCAGGGCGAGACCUAGGAAACUACAGACUUCAGGAGAGCCUUAGGGCCGAUUACCUAUUUGUUGGGGUAAGGGCCAACCACGGCGCGGAUCGGUAGCCGGCCGGGGGGGUUGAACGGCCAGGCUGGAGCGGAGACACGGUCCAGAGUCGUACGGGAGGCAGCAGUUGGGAAUAUUGGACGAUGGGCGGAAGCCUGAUGCAGCCAUGCCGCGUGCGUGAAGAAGGACUUCGGUGUGUAAAGCGCUUUUUUUUGGAAGGAAAAGCAGUAAGUUAAGACCAGGCUGUUAUGACGGUACCUGCAGAAUAAGCGCCGGCUAACUUCGUG
Molecule: ribosomal RNA, 485 nt
Filed under: uncultured bacterium
Lineage: Bacteria
Description: partial 16S ribosomal RNA
Rfam family: Bacterial small subunit ribosomal RNA
Source: RNAcentral